Molecule: ribosomal RNA, 337 nt
Filed under: uncultured bacterium
Lineage: Bacteria
Description: partial 16S ribosomal RNA
Rfam family: Bacterial small subunit ribosomal RNA
Source: RNAcentral
CCUACGGGUGGCUGCAGUAGGGAAUAUUGCUCAAUGGGGGAAACCCUGAAGCAGCAACGCCGCGUGGAGGAUGAAGGUUUUCGGAUUGUAAACUCCUUUUGUUAGAGAAGAGAAUGACGGUAGCUAACGAAUAAGCACCGGCUAACACCGUGCCAGCAGCCGCGGUAAUACGGAGGGUGCAAGCGUUCCUCGGAAGCCCUGGGCGUAAAGAGCGCGUAGGCGGGAUCGCAAGUCAGAUGUGAAAUCCUAUGGCUUAACCCUAGAACUGCAUUUGAAACUGUUAUUCUAGAGUAUGGGAGAGGUAGGUGGAAUUCUUGGUGUCGGGGUCAACUCCGUA